AUUGAACGCUGGCGGCAUGGCUAAAACAUGCAAGUCGAACGGCAGCGCGGGGCAACCUGGCGGCGAGUGGCGAACGGGUGAGUAAUAUAUCGGAACAUACCCUAGAGUGGGGGAUAACGUAGCGAAAGUUACGCUAAUACCGCAUACGCACUAAGGUGGAAAGUGGGGGAUCUUCGGACCUCAUGCUCAUGGAGUGGCCGAUAUCUGAUUAGCUAGUUGGUGAGGUAAAGGCUCACCAAGGCGACGAUCAGUAGCUGGUUUGAGAGAACGACCAGCCACACUGGAACUGAGACACGGUCCAGACUCCUACGGGAGGCAGCAGUGGGGAAUUUUGGACAAUGGGCGAAAGCCUGAUCCAGCAAUGCCGCGUGAGUGAUGAAGGUCUUAGGGUUGUAAAGCUCUUUUACCCGAGAUGAUAAUGACAGUAUCGGGAGAAUAAGCUCCGGCUAACUCCGUGCCAGCAGCCGCGGUAAU
This 474-nucleotide ribosomal RNA is filed under the name uncultured bacterium. RNAcentral's name for it is "bacterial SSU rRNA". It matches the Rfam family "Bacterial small subunit ribosomal RNA", at positions 30 to 524 of the family's 1533-position model. The record is from RNAcentral.